GAUGAACGCUGGCGGCGUGCCUAAUACAUGCAAGUCGAGCGAACGGACGAGAAGCUUGCUUCUUUGAUGUUAGCGGCGGACGGGUGAGUAACACGUGGAUAACCUACCUAUAAGACUGGGAUAACUUCGGGAAACCGGAGCUAAUACCGGAUAAUAUUUUGAACCGCAUGGUUCAAAAGUGAAAGACGGUCUUGCUGUCACUUAUAGAUGGAUCCGCGCUGCAUUAGCUAGUUGGUAAGGUAACGGCUUACCAAGGCAACGAUGCAUAGCCGACCUGAGAGGGUGAUCGGCCACACGGGAACGGAGACACGGUCCAGACUCCUACGGGAGGCAGCAGUAGGGAAUCUUCCGCAAUGGGCGAAAGCCUGACGGAGCAACGCCGCGUGAGUGAUGAAGGUCUUCGGAUCGUAAAACUCUGUUAUUAGGGAAGAACAUAUGUGUAAGUAACUGUGCACAUCUUGACGGUACCUAAUCAGAAAGCCACGGCUAACUACGUG
Molecule: ribosomal RNA, 497 nt
Filed under: uncultured bacterium
Lineage: Bacteria
Description: partial 16S ribosomal RNA
Rfam family: Bacterial small subunit ribosomal RNA
Source: RNAcentral